AUGCAAGUGCACACAGAGUUGGGGAGGAAACCAGAUGGAACCAUUGAUGCCGACUCUGAGUUCUGGAUAACACACACAGAGAAGAAACCAUACCUAAGGAAGUUGCAGUGGGGUCCUCCAGCAAACAAGGAGUUGCUUGAUCAACUGUUCAGAGGUUACACUGUGGAUGGAAGCACAACCUUUGUGCCUGGAGAUGAUAUUAAUCAAGAGGAAGAUGCAGGGGCAGAAGAGGAAGAGGAGUUUCAAGGAACACCUACAAGUACAAGCAACCAGAGGAGCCAGAGGGGCAAGAGGUCAUUAAGCACUUCAAGCACUUUGACCAGUCCAUUGAAGAAGAGCAAGAGCCCAAUGGUGAAGAUUGUGAAGGACAUAGCCAAUACCGACAAGGUGUCUGUCGCAGCCAACACUAAGCAAAUGUAG
This 420-nucleotide ribosomal RNA is filed under the name Triticum aestivum (bread wheat). RNAcentral's name for it is "partial small subunit ribosomal RNA". The record is from RNAcentral. Lineage: Eukaryota; Viridiplantae; Streptophyta; Magnoliopsida; Poales; Poaceae.